GCACUAAUGGUCUAGUGGUAGAAUGUGUCGUUGCCAUCGACGCGGCCCCGGUUCGAUUCCGGGUUAGUGCA
Non-coding RNA from Eremomyces bilateralis CBS 781.70, 71 nucleotides. NCBI's taxonomy places the organism in Eukaryota, Fungi, Ascomycota, Dothideomycetes, Eremomycetales, Eremomycetaceae. The record is from the annotation of a RefSeq genome assembly.